This is a non-coding RNA of Schistosoma rodhaini, 45 nucleotides long. Lineage: Eukaryota; Metazoa; Platyhelminthes; Trematoda; Strigeidida; Schistosomatidae. The record is from Rfam.
AUCCAGCUGACCAGUCCCAAACAGAGUGAAACGCAAGUACUGGAU